GCCAGUGGCAAUAGCACGUUGAAUACAACUUCCCGAUUGAUCACCGAAGUUAAGCAACGUUGCGCUUGAUUAGUAUCCGGAAGGGUGACCUAGUGGACAAUUGCGUGCUGCUGGCG
RNAcentral lists this ribosomal RNA (116 nucleotides) under Diaphorina citri (Asian citrus psyllid). The record is from RNAcentral. Lineage: Eukaryota; Metazoa; Arthropoda; Insecta; Hemiptera; Psyllidae.